This is a long non-coding RNA of Neofelis nebulosa (Clouded leopard), 2020 nucleotides long. RefSeq lists it as uncharacterized. The record is from RefSeq and is a predicted model, not a curated record. NCBI's taxonomy places the organism in Eukaryota, Metazoa, Chordata, Mammalia, Carnivora, Felidae. The transcript is spliced from 2 exons.
GUUCCUUCUGGGUACUGGGGUCACGACACCCGCUCCCGGGUGAAGGGAGGAGGACAGUGAGCAAAUCAGCAGCGAAGAAGGAGACGUCUCAAGGUAAGUGUGAGUAAAGAAUAGAACAGGAGAAAGGGCAUAGGGGUUGAGUGACCACUCUUUGUUAGGACGUCAUGACAUUUGUGCUGACAGCUAAAGCCUGAGAAAGGGCCUUGUGAAGAUCUGGGGGAGAACCCAUUCCUGGCUGAGGGCCGAGCAAGUGCAAAGGGCCUGAGGCAUGAAUGACCUUGGAGGUUAAUGAGAAGUUCAAAUAAAUGAGUCAAACCUGGUUAUAGGUCAGGCUCUGGGGAUGGGUGGGGGCUGGUAGGGGGAGGGAUGGACGGAUGGACGCUAUUCCCCCUGUCCCAGCUUAGCCCACAGGCCCCAGAAGGAGGCCCUAUGUGUCAGUUAACAGCCUCUGGUUUCUUUCCCAAAUCCAACCUCACGUGGGGAGGCUGAUUCCCCAAGAGAGCCAGCUGCUUGGUGUCUGUCUGGAUUUGCCAUUAGGACAGGAAUACUCCUAAUUUAAUUUCUCCUUUGUGUCUCUCUGAGUGACUAACUCCAUGAGUCGUCUCCUAAGAAGAACGUGCCGGAGAUGAAAAACAGCAGAUUUUAAUGAAAAUCGAGAGCUGCAUACAGACCUUUGGCAGCCUCCAACGCUGGGGCGCUGACCCCUUCUGGCCCAGGGCCGUGCACACAGAUGGUGCUCAAUGUAUGCUCACUAGGCCGUGCGUGACCUCACCGGUCAGGAUGCUCUGUUUCUAGUCCCCCUUUGGCUCUCCUGCUGCAAAGGCACACUAGAGGAGGGCGGGCCAGCUGGGGAGGUGGCAGGACAGAGGUCGCUCAUCAGAGGGAGUCAGGCCAGGCAUCCAGCCAACUCAGUAGUGGCUGUGUGCAUUUCCUGGAGCGGCACCUGACAUCUGCCACCCCAGCCCGGAUUUUCUGGAGCACCUACAAUAUCCCGGAUACUGCGUCUACCCACUCGGCCCACACGGAUUGUGGUUGCUGCCUCUACGCGACCCCAGGACACUUCCCACGUCCCUUCCUUAGGAUCAGCGGUGACAGGGCUCCUAGGAGACAAGCCCCAACCAGAAUGGUCUUGGGGGCACCAAUGGUCGAUCCGUCCAUUCUCCCACUCUUGACCCCUUGGGACUCCCUGGGCCAGAGGAGCAAAGACUGGAAAUUUCCUCCCCAGGAGUUCAGCCUGCCUGCUCUUCUCAUUCUCCGGUUCUCAUCCUCACGGGACCCCAGGAACCCCAGGGCAACCAGGGCUGCAGCCCGCGGCUCCAAAGGGUAGUCAGUUCAGCUGCUGCUUCCUGCUCGGAGAUGUUUCCAGUGGCCCGACCAGCCGCCCCCAGCUUUCUUUCAUCUUUCAUCUGUUUGUUCCAAGAAAAAAAUGCAUCAUAGCAUCGCGACUCUGGGAGGGAGGCGCUGUAAUUGUCCUCAUUUUCCAAGUGAAUAAAUAGAAGUUCAAAGGAAUACUUUGUGCAAGGUCAUUGUAAGUGAUGUUGCCAGAUCUGCCUGUCUCUGGCAGCCAGAGAGCAUCCGGUGCCCAGAGCCAUUCCCGACCUGCUUUCUUUCUCUCCCAAAGAGAAUGGAAAGCUAAAACACUCAUCUCGUCAGACUUCCUUGCAGCUAGAAGUGACCAAGUGACCAGUUUUGGCCACCGACGUGUAAGCGAAAAGAACCAGGAAGAAGCUCUUGGAGCAAAUUCAGCCUUUCAAAUUUUGCCCUUUAAUUCUGUCUGGAGUCCAGGUAUGAUACCUGGAGGCGUAGCAGCCAUCUUGUAACCAUGAGGUCAAAUCCCCAUGCCAAGGAUGGCAGAGUAGGAGUGUAGAAAUAAUCUGGAUUUCUGAUGACAUCCAUGGGUAGCCCUCCCCAGGAUCCUUGUUUCAUGAUGCAAAGACAUUUCUUACUUAUUUCAUCCACCAUUUAUUGGAUUUGUAGCUUCUUAUGAGCAAAUAAAAAUAAUUGACCCCUGGCCUCCACA